Molecule: long non-coding RNA, 1064 nt
Filed under: Daphnia pulex (common water flea)
Lineage: Eukaryota; Metazoa; Arthropoda; Branchiopoda; Diplostraca; Daphniidae
Description: uncharacterized LOC124191435, transcript variant X4
Source: RNAcentral
AAGUGAGCUUUGUUCUCUGUAGAAUUCUAAAGACUCCAUGCUAAUUUUAAGCAAAGAGAAAUUGUCUUUUUGAUUACUUUUAUGACUUGCGACUAUCUAAGGCAAGUCCUUUAGAUAUUGAGUUUGGAAUGUGUCAAAUAGAUGGCGUGAAAGAAUGUUGUUUGUUGUGUCAGAUAUGGGCUUAUGACGUCAAAAGUUCAGCGACAUCUUCUUCGAAAAUUACCAAUGAAUUCGUUGGUAAAUUGACUAGAUUUCCUGUGUUAUUUGUUUGGCAUGUGUUCUUUCAUUAUUUCUCAUCCAUUUCCAGGAGAAAAUGUGAAAGGUUCAUGAAGUCUGUACUGUCAACUAUUGUGAAUCCUGGUAUCCUAACUGAAUAUGUCAUCCUAAUGACAGAGUGUGAAAGGUGAAAGGCGUGAGGAAUUCAAAUUUAGCUGCUGCGUGCUGUCUGCAAGGAAGCAAUCCAAUUGGCUGUCGCUAGGUGGCGCGAGCAUCUUCGGCCAUUUUGUUCCUUGACGAAUGAGAAGUGGGAUGCUGCAUGCUGGUCGUGACGUUUCCCAUGAUGAAAAUGUGAUUUCAAUUCCACUUGGUCAAGCAAUCUAACCAGAAUCUAACUCGGAAGCCUGUCCAUUUUGCUGAAAUGUCGUGCCUCGUGUGUCUUGCUGCCUGCACCCAGUCGUAUGUCUCGUGCCAUGCAAAAGCAAAAGUCCGCUGUUGGUUACCUUGUUGCAGCCAGGUGGUGAAAGAUGUGAUGGAGACUAAUUGAACUGUUGUAUGCAGCGUGUGGUUCCAGUGUUAUCCAGAAGUAGCUGUGCUGGCGGUAUCCUGAACUAGCCUGAAGUUGCCAGUGAUAUCCGGGUCGCUGACUUUAAAUAUUUUUUCUGUUUGCAUUUUGUGUAUUUUGCCCUGCCAAUGUUAUCCUGUGUUUGAAAUCUGUUCUCUUUCGUGUUUUUUUUUGCUCUACCAGUGAUUUCCUGUGUUGCAGUCUUGAAAUGGUUCCAUUGUCGUCUUUGGCGUUUUUAUUGUGCAGUAUACGAUUGAGGCAACCUGAUCUAUGUCAGGUUUGA